Molecule: ribosomal RNA, 510 nt
Filed under: uncultured bacterium
Lineage: Bacteria
Description: partial 16S ribosomal RNA
Rfam family: Bacterial small subunit ribosomal RNA
Source: RNAcentral
GACGAACGCUGGCGGCGUGCUUAACACAUGCAAGUCGAACGAAGAGCGACGGAAGCUUGCUUCUAUCAAUCUUAGUGGCGAACGGGUGAGUAACGCGUAAUCAACCUGCCCUUCAGAGGGGGACAACAGUUGGAAACGACUGCUAAUACCGCAUACGAUCUAACCUCGGCAUCGAGGAUAGAUGAAAGGUGGCCUCUACAUGUAAGCUAUCACUGAAGGAGGGGAUUGCGUCUGAUUAGCUAGUUGGAGGGGUAACGGCCCACCAAGGCGAUGAUCAGUAGCCGGUCUGAGAGGAUGAACGGCCACAUUGGGACUGAGACACGGCCCAGACUCCUACGGGAGGCAGCAGUGGGGAAUCUUCCGCAAUGGACGAAAGUCUGACGGAGCAACGCCGCGUGAGUGAUGACGGCCUUCGGGCUGUAAAGCUCUGUUAAUCGGGACGAAAGGCCUUCUUGCGAAUAGUGAGAAGGAUUGACGGUACCGGAAUAGAAAGCCACGGCUAACUACGUG